RNAcentral lists this unclassified non-coding RNA (318 nucleotides) under Hevea brasiliensis (rubber tree). The record is from RNAcentral. Lineage: Eukaryota; Viridiplantae; Streptophyta; Magnoliopsida; Malpighiales; Euphorbiaceae.
GUUCAGGUAUGCAAUUUCUUAUAACGCUGAAAAGAGUGAAUUCUCAUGACAUUUUCUUUUUCAUCAUACUGUGAGUUUGAGUUGUAAACAAGACAUGUUGGAAACAUGGCUUGGCUUUUAUGCAUGUACUAGCUUUUAGUUUCUGCUAUGCUUGGGAUCCUCAUCAAAUCCUGAUUGUAGAAUCUCAUUUGCAUAUAAAAAGAUAUUUGAAAAGAUCAUAUACAAAUGCCACUCUUCUCAAUGAAGUUUCAAAUUAGCUUUAACUCACAAGUUUGGAAACAAUCACCAAAUGCUAAUGCAUGCAAAAUUAAACAUUUG